RNAcentral lists this ribosomal RNA (253 nucleotides) under uncultured bacterium. RNAcentral's name for it is "partial 16S ribosomal RNA". It matches the Rfam family "Bacterial small subunit ribosomal RNA", at positions 524 to 776 of the family's 1533-position model. The record is from RNAcentral.
UACGUAGGCAGCAAGCGUUGUUCGGAGUUACUGGGCGUAAAGGGUGCGUAGGCGGCCCUGUAAGUAUGGUGUGAAAUCUCCCGGCUUAACUGGGAGGGUGCAGCGGAAACUAGAAUGCUAGAGGGUGGGAGAGGUAAGCGGAAUUCCUGGUGUAGCGGUGAAAUGCGUAGAUAUCAGGAGGAACACCUGUGGUGUAGACAGCUUACUGGACCACUUCUGACGCUGAGACACGAAAGCGUGGGUAGCAAACAGG